CGGUGCCAGGGGCAUUGUGCCGUUCUUACAGCUCAGCUGGGCUGUCACUGCUCAGGACUUCUGACACCAAAGCAGGUGCCGUGCUCACUCUGGAUCUCACAGUAAUUCCUGGCCUCUUUUUCCUCUCCAGUUAAAGGCUCAUGCCACAUCAACAGCACUGAAAAGGAAGAGAUGCUUCCUGGAGAUGAGCUGCACUGCUGGAAGGAAAACACCGGCCUUGUGUUGAAGCUUCUGAUAGUUCCUAUGGCUCUCCUGCCCUGCAUCUGGCAACCUCCAGCUCCAGAGCCACCACGAAGCCGAGAGAAGCUGGAGAGAAGUGUGAAGGCUGAUUGGAGCCUCUUGCUGGUGACAGGUAACUGGGUGUUUCUCUGUGAAAGGAGUGGAAAUGGGAGGUAAGAGAGAGAACUCAUUUCCUGGAGAGAAUGUGGAUUCACUCAAGCCAUCAUGAGGUGACCGGGCAGGUGACAAGGAAAAGAAAGUUCCAUAAUGACACCUGAAUUAUUGCACUGGAUUUUCCCCUGCACCUACGCACCGCUCUUUGGACCUGAAGGCAAAAUUCUCAUCCCCAACACCCAGCUAGAAGAGUAACAAAACUAAAAACAACAAAAAACAACACAAACAUGCAAAAUAAGACUUCAUACCCAGAUAACAAGUACAGCAGCAACCAUUGGCCCAGGAAACACACAGCUCAGCAGAGCUCAGCUGAUAUGCCCAAGCAGUGCAUUCAGCCAUUGCAUCAUUCCAUGUGUGGCAUUUUUGGAUCCAUGUGUUCCUGUGUCUUUUUGCAGCCUGCCAGCAACAUCCAGUAUUUCACAGUCCAACCUCUCACCCUUGUGAGACGUUCUCAUUCCUGGAUCCUUUGCAAGUCAUCCACCUGCAACAUCCCAUUCUGUUUGCUGUUCAAAGUCCCCUUGUUCUCCCUGAGAUCCACUGCACUGUGCUGAAAGCAGCAGUGAGCACAUUAACCAUAGAAGUCUGUCACUAAAAUAAAUUUUUUUAAAAGAGAGAUAAAUCUUAUGAGCACUGAGAGGACACUGGAGGGGAGAUCCUAGUAUUGAAAGUAUUCCCCUUCUCCAAGGUGCAGUAGCAAAGGUAUUUCUGGGUAAGAAACACUGAAAAAGCUGUUAAAAGACAAAAUGAGGUUCUGGUGCUGUCUCUGAUGCAGAGAGAUGUCAUGGAACCUGUGAGAUGCUCUGCCUCCUUGUGCACUGCACUGCCCACAUGCAUCACCCUGCUUCGUCAGCUCAGGAAAGCACUUCUGACCACACCUGCAACAAUCCCUGAGUCUGACAGCAUCAAAGUUCAUACAUUGCAUUCAGCUAUAUGGCUAGCUGCAGCAGUGCUACACCCGUGGGGAUAUUUUUCUGAACAACUGGAAGAUGGGGAAGGAAAAAAACAUCCUCUUGUCAUGUCAGUUCAUCUCACAGGCAGACAGAGCAGCUCUGGACCUGAAUGCAUGGUGGAACGUGCUGCCCAGGCAGGUGACAAGGCUGCUGUGGAUGGUUUGCCAGGCUUGUCUGGGCCCACAGCAUGCAGUUGGCAGAAUGUUGGCAGUUUGUAUAUCCUGUAUGUGAGCUGGAAAUAAUUGGUUUCAAAGCCAGCUUUGAAAGGGUGUGUAUGUCUGAGCUCAAAUUGUUAGCGUAUAGUUAUGCUAAAAACAUUCAAGUUUAAACAGAUAAUAUUCAGGGUACUGAAUAGAGAGAAGGAAGAAUCAAAGACAAGUGCCAGUACAAUGAUUCAACAGAGCACCUGGAAAAUAGACACUACUGCUUUGCAGAUGACCACUGGAAAAAAGACCACGCAAAUAAUGCAUUCAGUGUAAUUAUCAUCACCAUGUAGUGUACAUCAAGGAAAUCUGUGAGCAGGGGGAGCACGGUUCUUCCAAGCUCUCAGAAAUUAAAUUCAACAUGUGAGGGACCUCUUGGCACAAUAGCAAUUCACCAGCUCACAGCCCUGACCAAGACAGCCAUUGUGAAUUACUUAAUUCUUGCAAAUUAGGAAGUGAAUAAACAUGACUCAAAAAUUCAAGUUACUUCACUGAAGAAAAAAAAAAAAAUAGUUAUAAAGGCAGCACUCAGAUGCUCUGCUCUGUAGGCGCAGCCAGCUGAAUGGGAUCUUAAGGCUCCAAGGGCUCAUUUGGCUCAGCCCAAAACCAGCCAACACAUCCCUGCAAGGACACCAGACUUUCAGGGUGUUACUCUUAUGAGGAUGGUUUCUUUAAGACAGCAGUGAUGCAACUGCCUCUAAAAUAUGACUUUGAAGUAACAAAAUCAGCAAAAGCAGCUGAUGGCAAGCUGUAAAGCAGAAGCCAAAGUUUGAUUUACUUUUUUUUCACUUAAAAAAAAAAGAAAAAAGACACAGCAGCAGCUGGGGCCGGUACCACCAUAGCACCAAGGCACUGCGGUUUGUUGCAGGGCCAAGUGCUGCCAGACACACAGACACACCGUGUUUCCCUCCCACCAAAUAUGGAGCCAAGCUGCUGAGCCACUAGCACACAUUUUAAAGCCAUGACGUAAUGGCACCCGACCUCUUGCUGCUGUAAAAGAUGAAAAAGAGCUUCGGGUCUGCUCAGAGGAGCAGAGGCAGCGGCAGCCUUUUCUCUGCAUCCCCUCUUCCUCCUGACAGACCCCACUGCCCCCGGGUCUCUGUCCCACCAUGUCCCCAAGGAUGUCCCUUCCCAAGAACCAGGGCCUGGGAAUGGAGUGGAGAUCCCAGAAGAGAAGGAGGGAAUGGGGAACAUCCACACAGAUGGAUAAGUAAAAACAGAGGGAGAACUUUAGAGAGCAAGAAAGUAGAGGACAUGUUUUAAACAUCUUGAACUUUGACUGUGCUGCUGACACUUUGUGGUUACUCUCAUCCUUACUUGGGAACAUGGGUGCUGCCCUGCAAACGGGGAUCAAGGCUUCUUUCUUAACCCCUCCUCUUCCUUAAUACCUCACACAGGGAAAGCGAUUCCUCAUUUUAUCUUACUCUGAGAUCUCCCUCGUUUCAUUCAGGCGGAGACACUGGGAACAGAGGCUAAGGGGAGCAGUAGAAAAAUAGACAAGGAAGUUAGAAAUAAAUGCCCUUACCUCAUGUAUCUCACACCUCUCCACGUGGUUGGCAGGGAGAAGGUCCCACUAACUACAAGGCCAGUGUACGGGCACGACAUAAUGGCACAUGAAAAAAUAACGAGUGCCUUGACAGAUAUACAAUGAGGAAAUAACAUUAACCAACACCCAGUUUACUUUUCAGUUCAUGACUGCUCAGCUAUGGCAAUACAAUGAUGUAAUUCAGAGGCAGACACACAGGUUUGUACCCCCUGACAAAGAAUCUCAUGGAAAAGGCUCUGGGGAGAAAAUUUUAAGACUCAGACCUACUCAGGUACCUUCUACUUAAAGUCUGGAAGGAAAAGAAUUCUGACUCUUUCCAUGGACUUUGGACCAGGCCAAGAAGCAGUGGCUGAAUCUAAUUGCCUAGUGUCAUAAGUGCCUGUGAUUUUCCUGAAGCUGCAUUUCACCCCUGCUGCACGCUGUGGCUGUUUCUGGCCUCAAAGAAACACCUGCUGGUGAGCAUGUUGCUGUCUGUCUGCUCAUUCAAGCAGUACGUAAUGAACAGACUCAUGCUCCCUAGAAAGUAUUUACAACAGAAAGCAUGAGUACACGGAAUGGUCAUCCAGAUCCGGAUUUCUUUUUACUCACAGUAAUGCUAUGAUUUGUCCUCAAUUCAAGCUGCCAUUUCAGAAUUAAAACUUGCUUUUAAAAUAUGAUUGCAAGUCACAGGAAUUCAGAGCAGCACAUAAAGUCUGCCAGAAACAGAAAAACAAUUGCCAGAAAAAUCAUAGGAAAAAACCCCGGUUGCAAAUUCAUUUCCUGUACAGCAACAAGAGCAGUAUGUUGCCCUUCUGAACCAUAUCCUUUUAAUAAACUUUUUAUUGCUGUAGAACAAUUGAAAGUUAUCUGUAAAGCACAGAAUCCAUUCAUAGAAUCAGAGAAUCAUAGAAUGGCCUG
Molecule: long non-coding RNA, 3989 nt
Organism: Tympanuchus pallidicinctus (lesser prairie-chicken)
Lineage: Eukaryota; Metazoa; Chordata; Aves; Galliformes; Phasianidae
Exons: 3
Source: RefSeq, a predicted model, not a curated record